This 292-nucleotide ribosomal RNA is filed under the name uncultured bacterium. RNAcentral describes it as "partial 16S ribosomal RNA". It matches the Rfam family "Bacterial small subunit ribosomal RNA", at positions 505 to 796 of the family's 1533-position model. The record is from RNAcentral.
GUGCCAGCAGCCGCGGUAAUACAGAGACUGCAAGCGUUAUUCGGAUUCACUGGGCGUAAAGGGUGCGCAGGCGGCCGGGUGUGUCAGAUGUGAAAUCCCGAGGCUUAACCUCGGAACUGCGUCUGAAACUACUCGGCUAGAGUAUUGGAGAGGGUAACGGAAUUCACGGUGUAGCAGUGAAAUGCGUAGAUAUCGUGAGGAACACCAGAGGCGAAGGCGGUUACCUGGACAAUUACUGACGCUCAGGCACGAAAGCAUGGGGAGCAAAAGGGAUUAGAUACCCCCGUAGUCC